This 759-nucleotide ribosomal RNA is filed under the name uncultured Enterobacteriaceae bacterium. RNAcentral's name for it is "bacterial SSU rRNA". It matches the Rfam family "Bacterial small subunit ribosomal RNA", at positions 28 to 776 of the family's 1533-position model. The record is from RNAcentral. Lineage: Bacteria; Pseudomonadati; Pseudomonadota; Gammaproteobacteria; Enterobacterales; Enterobacteriaceae.
AUUGAACGCUGGCGGCAGGCCUAACACAUGCAAGUCGAGCGGCAGCGGAAAGUAGCUUGCUACUUUGCCGGCGAGCGGCGGACGGGUGAGUAAUGUCUGGGAAACUGCCUGAUGGAGGGGGAUAACUACUGGAAACGGUAGCUAAUACCGCAUGACCUCGAAAGAGCAAAGUGGGGGAUCUUCGGACCUCACGCCAUCGGAUGUGCCCAGAUGGGAUUAGCUAGCAGGUGAGGUAAUGGCUCACCUAGGCGACGAUCCCUAGCUGGUCUGAGAGGAUGACCAGCCACACUGGAACUGAGACACGGUCCAGACUCCUACGGGAGGCAGCAGUGGGGAAUAUUGCACAAUGGGCGCAAGCCUGAUGCAGCCAUGCCGCGUGUGUGAAGAAGGCCGUAGGGUUGUAAAGCACUUUCAGCGAGGAGGAAGGCAUCAUACUUAAUACGUGUGGUGAUUGACGUUACUCGCAGAAGAAGCACCGGCUAACUCCGUGCCAGCAGCCGCGGUAAUACGGAGGGUGCAAGCGUUAAUCGGAAUUACUGGGCGUAAAGCGCACGCAGGCGGUUUGUUAAGUCAGAUGUGAAAUCCCCGCGCUUAACGUGGGAACUGCAUUUGAAACUGGCAAGCUAGAGUCUUGUAGAGGGGGGUAGAAUUCCAGGUGUAGCGGUGAAAUGCGUAGAGAUCUGGAGGAAUACCGGUGGCGAAGGCGGCCCCCUGGACAAAGACUGACGCUCAGGUGCGAAAGCGUGGGGAGCAAACAGG